ACCCCACCUAUUGUAGGUAUGGUAACUGGAGCAAAGGUUUUCUCUUCUCUCCUUCUUCUUCCAAUGGUGUUCCUCCUUCGACCAUCUUCACACAAUUUCUUACCUUCCCUCUACUCCCCCACCCAACUAAAGAGAAAACAGGGAUUUUUUCAGAUUCAAGUCAUUUGGUGUAGCAUCUGAGGUCUAUAUUUGGGCAUCUAUAAGUAGAGAUCUUCAUGUUGACUACAGGAAUUGGGAGUGAGAAGCUGGUGUGGAGGUCCUGUGAAGACAAGGGUAAGGGAUUUCCCUCACAUUCUCACUUGCUGUGGUGCCUGUGGAUUAUCUAAGAAAGGGUUAAAU
RNAcentral lists this long non-coding RNA (339 nucleotides) under Marmota monax (woodchuck). Lineage: Eukaryota; Metazoa; Chordata; Mammalia; Rodentia; Sciuridae. The record is from RNAcentral.